CCUGUUCCAGUGACGGUAUAGGGUUAGGGGGUGUUACAUUACCAUUGAAGCUUGGAAACAUUCAUAUUUCCUAUGCCGAAACUACAUCCUAAAUGAAUUGCCAGAUGCACUGUAUGAAGUGUAUAGUGAUAAGAAAACAACUAAGGAAUUAUUGACAUCGUUAUACCAUAAAUACAAAGCCGAGGAUGCUAGAACUAAAAAGUUCUUAGUUGAUAAAUUCUUGAAUUUUGUAAUGGUUUAUUCUAAAUUAGUUGUGAAUCAAAUGCAGGAGCUUCAACUAAUCAUUCACGGAAAUUCUUGCUGAAGGGAUGAUAAUAAGUGAAUCCUUCCAAGUGACAGCCAUUAUUGAGAAGUAGCCUCCUGCUUGGAAUGACUUCAAGAAUUACCUAAAGCACAAAAGAAAGGAAAUAUUAGUGGAAGACCUAAUUGUUAGACUUCAUAUUGAAGAAGACAAUAGAUGUACGGAAAAGAGACUCAACAAAGCAGCAAAUGGGCAAUGUUGAUAAAGCAAACGUCAUAGAAGUCAAGAAAGACUUCAAGAAGGGUAAAAACCACAAAAUGGGCCUAAACUGGGACCAAAAUGUGAGGUUUUCAAGAAGCAAAAAUUUAAAGGAAAAUGCUUUAAUUGCAACAAGAUGGGGCACAAGUCAUCUGGCUAUAGGAUCCUAAAGAAAGUUAGAGCUAACGAGACUAAUGCUGUGGAAGAAAUUUCCAAGGAAGUGUUCGAUAUUGAAUUAUGUGCCUAACUAUGAAUAAGAAUGUUCUUAGUAAAGGGGAAUAUUUGUGGGAAGGGGAUAUGUAUUAAACUAAAUGUUAUCUCUAUAAAAGCAAAACUAUGAAUAAGAAUGUUGUUUUUUCCUUUCAUUUGCUUAAGUCAUUUAAUUAAUGCCAUAGUAAGCUCGGAUAUGUUAAUUAUGGUACUUUAUGUACAUAAAUUAAUUUAGAGCACAUUCUUUCGUUUCGCAAUAAUUAUAAUUAUAAAUGUGAAACAUAAGUUGAGGCAAAUUAAUAAAGGUCAAAAAUCACUUGAUCUAAUACAUAACAAUGCUUCUAAAGCUUGCUUAAACGACAUGAAGGAAUAAAAAUGUUUAUUACCUUCAUUACUAUAAGCUAAGACGUAGAGAAUUUAUUCUCUAUAAGCAAGUAAGUUGAAAACCAACUUAAUAAAAAAUUAAGUAAUCAUGAUGGUAGAUAUAUUGAAUCAUUUCAAUAACACGACCAUACUUUCCUAAAAUAGAGUAACCGAAAAGAAAAUCAAAGUCUAAAGGAAAAGAUGAACGCACUGCUCAAAAGCUCUAGGUUAUCACAUGAAAUGUAAAUUACCUUUUAAUUAAGGUACCCCCCAAGAAAAGGGACGAGACACCACAUGAGUUAUGGAAAGGUAGAAAACCAUUCUACAACCACUUGAAAGUGUGGAGGUUGUCUUGCUAGUGUAACAUAUAAUGGUAAGUCGAAACAUAUGCGACGUCAACAUAAUACCAUUAAACAAAUGAUCUCAAAUGGAGUUAUCUAUAUUGAUUUUGAAAAAUUAAAAGAUAAUAUUAUAGAUUCCUUAAUUAAAGGCUUAAACCGAGAUCAUGUUGUUAAAACAUAGAAAGGAAUGUGAUUAAAGCCCAUGAAAAUAAAAGUCGCUAUGUGAAGGAAAACCCUACCUAGUUGACUGAAGAUCCCAAGAUCUAGGUUCAAAGGGACAACCUAAUUGCAUAGACCUUGUGAGGUCGCUGUGUGGGUACUUAUCCCAAGUCCGUUCCUGUGAUGUAAACAGUGACUAAAAAAGGAUAGGUUAAGCAAUGCUUUUAAUGACCAUUGUGUGUUUCGAUGAGCCGAACAACAUAAGUCACCUAUGUGAGAGUGAAGUAGGGCUGCUUCAAAGAGACUAUUGAGGCGUAGUUCUCUUAAACUCUUUUAUAACCAAGAGAUGUUCACAACUAUAUGAACAUACCCAUGAGAACUAAAAUCUUGCCAGGGAGGUAGUUGUGUGAGGUAUAUCAUCGUUUACACAAAAGGCAGAACAGUUCAAAGACAUCACGUCUACUGGUCAGCUAGUAAAGUAAAUAUACUUUCACAAGGGAAGGUUUAAGGGUGGAUAUGUAACGUCCCCUAACCCUAUACCAUCGUCGGAACAGGGUUACGAAACAUUACCAGUCAGUACAGUCCAAUUUCAGUCAUUAAUUAAAAUAAAUAUUCAUACUCAUCCUAGUUUUAAGAUGUCGUCCCUUUAAUGGGCCCUCGCGGUCCAAUAUGGACAGUAAAUUCAAUUUGGAACUAAUUUAGAAUCAAUACGAAUUUUUUUUUUAUAUUUCAAAAUUCAUACUAUAUACCGUUUCCAACCAUAAUUUACUUAUUUCAUCAAUACUUUUACAACUUAAAUGACUCUCAUUAAACAUCCUAGGUACAUGCCAUUAUCAAUACUCAACAUACUUUACCUUAUUGAAUUCGGGAUCGGCCUGGAAUGCUGAUUCAACAGUCUAGCCUUAACUUAACCUGCGCACGGAAACAAACCGUACGCUGAGUAUACACUCAGUGGUAUUUCUAUAAUCCGAACACUUGAUAAUAUAACAAUUAAACUUAAAAUCACAAUAACAAAUAUAACUAUUGAUUUAUUUAUUUUAUAGAUAAGUUUCAUUUACUUACCAUAAAAAUUCUAUACAAGCCAUAUAACAAACACAACAACAUAUUUGCUCAAUUCUUUUCAUUUGCUUACCGUAUAAAUUCUUUACAAUAUCUUCACAAUUCAUUUGUAUUCACACUUUACUUCUUAACAAUAUACCAUUUUAAUUCAUUCUAACAUCAAUCAUCAUCCAUUUGAACUUCACUCAUUUCAUGAACCUUUUGAUUCAUGUUUUCAAUCUCAUAUCUCAAGUUCAAUUCUCAAUUCAAUUUCUCAUUUCAUUCCAAUAGCUCAAUCAAUCAAAUUCACUCGAUUUAUCUUUUCACUUAUUUACCCUUAUUAACAAGACUCGGACUCUGAUAGAUACGUGGAUUCCUCCCAAACACACCAAAAUAUCCAACCCAAACACACCAGAAUAUCCAACCCAAACACACCCGGAAUAUUAUAAAUCCUCCAUAACACACCAGUAUAUCAUAUCCUCCCAAACACACCAAUAAGGCAUUAAAUGCCUCUUCAGAUAAACCGAAGUAUAUAAUAACAGAAACAUCUUCUCGGCCGAACUAUAAAUCUCCUCAUCACAUCAUAAAUCCAAUGGCAUGCCAUUUGUAUCCAAUCUGGUCCGAUACUGUUAAUAGGGUAUUUGAUUCACUUUCUCAAUUUAAUAAAUCUUUCAUCAAUAUACCAUUCUAAUAAUCACAUAUAUUCACACAUUUUCAUAAUUUCAUAUAUUUUCAUUCAAUUCAACAAAUAUAUUUCAAUUAUUCACAUUAAUUCAUAAUUCAAUACAACUCAAUUCACUUUUCAAUAUCAAAUAUUCAAUUAUCACAAAUCUCAUAUAUUCAUAUCAAUUCCCUCAUAUUCCAAUCAAUAUAAUUUUUCAAUAUAACAUUCAUUCAAUAUUCAAAUUUUUACAUAAAUCAUAUAUAUAAUAUAUAUUUCAAUCAAUAAAAAUUCAAUCAAAAUGAUUUCAAUCAAUAUAAAUUUGAUAAAUUCAUCACAUACCAAAAUCAAUCCAUUUUAAUUGUAAAACAUCAUAAUUCUAACACAAACAAUUGUCAUAUGUAUAUAAAUAUAACAAAUAAUGACUGAGUUCGGAUUAUAGAAAUACAAACCGUAAUUUUCGGUACCACAUUGACUACGAAAUUAAUACAAUUCAUAAUCAUUAAUACAUUACUAAUUUAUAUCUUGAGUUACAGAAUUCUAAAUUAAGAUCCGUUAAUUUUUCCUGAAACUAGACUCACAAAUCUUCUUACCAUAAAAUUUUCAGAAUUUUUGGUUUAGCCAUUAAGUACAGUUUAUUCUUUAAAUUCACCCCUAUUCUGCUGUCUAACAGUUUCGACCCUUCUUCACUAAAAAUUAAUUAUCUCAUAGUACAGAACUCAGAUAAUAUUCCUGUUGAUUUCACCUAAAAAUAGACUCAUUAGGGAUUCUAAACAUAUAACUUUAACCCUCUAAUUAUUUUUCUCCAAUUUUUGGUGAUUUUCCAAAGUCAGAACAGGGGAACCCAAAUUCAUUCUGACCUUGUCUCACAAAAUUCAUUAUAUCUCAUAAUUUACAAUUCAAUUUCUUAAACCGUUUCUUUUAUAAGAAACUAGACUCAAUAAGAUUUAAUUCCAUAUUUUAUUCAUCCUCUAAUUCAAUUUCUAAAAUUUUUGAUGAUUUUUUAAAGUUAGACUACUGCUGCUAUCCAAAAUAGUCUUAGUGCAAAAUGUUGAUUUUCUACUUUUAAUUUCAAUUUAAUCCUAACUAAAUUCACUUACUUUUCUAUCUUAAUCCUAACUAAAUUCUGCUAUCUAACAGUUUCGACCCUUCUUCACUAAAAAUUAAUUAUCUCACAAUACAGAACUCGGAUAAUAUUCCUGUUGAUUUCUCCUAAAAAUAGACUCAUUAGGGAUUCUAAACAUAUAACUUUAACCCUCUAAUUAUUUUUCUCCAAUUUUUGGUGAUUUUUCAAAGUCAGAACAGGGGAACCCGAAUUCAUUCUGACCUUGUCUUACAAAAUUCAUUAUAUCUCAUAAUUUACAAUUCAAUUGCUUAAACCGUUUCUUUUAUAAGAAACUAGACUCAAUAAGCUUUAAUUCCAUAUUUUAUUCAUUCUCUAAUUCAAUUUCUACAAUUUUUGAUGAUUUUUCAAAGUUAGACUACUACAGCUGUCCAAAAUAGUCUUAGUGCAAAAUGUUGAUUUUCUACUUUUAAUUUCAAUUUAAUCCUAACUAAAUUCACUUACUUUUCUAUCUUAAUCCUAACUAAAUUCUGCUGUCUGACAGUUUCGACCCUUCUUCACUAAAAAUUAAUUAUCUCACAGUACAGAACUCGGAUAAUAUUCCUGUUGAUUUCUCCUAAAAAUAGACUCAUUAUGGAUUCUAAACAUAUAACUUUAACCCUCUAAUUAUUUUUCUCCAAUUUUUGGUGAUUUUCCAAAGUCAGAACAGGGGAACCCGAAUUCAUUCUGACCUUAUCUCACAAAAUUCAUUAUAUCUCAUAAUUUACAAUUCAAUUGCUUAAACCGUUUCUUUUAUAAGAAACUAGACUCAAUAAGCUUUAAUUCCAUAUUUUAUUCAUCCUCUAAUUCAAUUUCUACAAUUUUUGAUGAUUUUUCAAAGUUAGACUACUGCUGCUGUCCAAAAUAGUCUUAGUGCAAAAUGUUGAUUUUCUACUUUUAAUUUCAAUUUAAUCCUAACUAAAUUCACUUACUUUUCUAUCUUAAUCCUAACUAAAUUCUGUUGUCUGACAGUUUCGACCCUUCUUCACUAAAAAUUAAUUAUCUCACAGUACAGAACUCGGAUAAUAUUCCUGUUGAUUUCACCUAAAAAUAGACUCAUUAGGGAUUCUAAACAUAUAACUUUAACCCUCUAAUUAUUUUUCUCUAAUUUUUGGUGAUUUUUCAAAGUCAGAACAGGGGAACCCGAAUUCAUUCUGCCCUUGUCUCACAAAAUUCAUUAUAUCUCAUAAUUUACAAUUCAAUUUCUUAAACCGUUUCUUUUAUAAGAAACUAGACUCAAUAAGCUUUAAUUCCAUAUUUUAUUCAUUCUCUAAUUCAAUUUCUACAAUUUUUGAUGAUUUUUCAAAGUUAGACUACUACAACUGUCCAAAAUAGUCUUAGUGCAAAAUGUUGAUUUUCUACUUUUAAUUUCAAUUUAAUCCUAACUAAAUUCACUUACUUUUCUAUCUUAAUCCUAACUAAAUCCUGCUGUCUGACAGUUUCGACCCUUCUUCACUAAAAAUUAAUUAUCUCAUAGUACAGAACUCGGAUAAUAUUCCUGUUGAUUUAUCCUAAAAAUAGACUCAUUAGGGAUUCUAAACAUAUAACUUUAACCCUCUAAUUAUUUUUCUCCAAUUUUUGGUGAUUUUCCAAAGUCAGAACAGGGGAACCCGAAUUCAUUCUGACCUUGUCUCACAAAAUUCAUUAUAUCUUAUAAUUUACAAUUCAAUUGCUUAAACUGUUUCUUUUAUAAGAAACUAGAAUCAAUAAGCUUUAAUUCCAUAUUUUAUUCAUUCUUUCAAUUUCUACAAUUUUUGAUGAUUUUUCAAAGUUAGACUACUGCUGCUGUCCAAAAUAGUCUUAGUGCAAAAUGUUGAUUUUCUACUUUUAAUUUCAAUUUAAUCCUAACUAAAUUCACUUACUUUUCUAUCUUAAUUCAUACUUUAUUUCUACUCAGUUUUUAACCAAACUUAGACAUAGUUAUCUAUUUUUCAUCAUAAAACCAUAAUUUCGAAAUUCUUUCAAUUUAGUCCUUAAAGCAUAAAACUUAUGAAUCACUUUACAAUUCAAUCCUUAUUUCAUUUCUAACUUGAAUUUCUAUCAAUUUAGCCUUUAAUUCAUCAUUUUACUCAACAUGAACAAUAUUUAUAAAUCUAAUAACUUUCAAAAUAUCAAUUUAAUUUCAUCAAAACUUUGUUCUAAAGCUUUUAAAACAUCAAAAAUUAAGUAAAAAGGGCUAAAUUAACAUACCUAUUAAAGUUUAAAGCUUCAAAACCUCGAUUUUCCCUUUUCUCUCUUUCUUUCUUUCUUUCCUUUCUUUCUCCCAUGUUCUUCUCUGUUUCGUUUACUUUCAUUUCUUUUAUUUCAUUUAUUUCUUUAUU
RNAcentral lists this long non-coding RNA (6694 nucleotides) under Gossypium barbadense (sea-island cotton). RNAcentral's name for it is "long non-coding RNA (GBAR_LNC003281)". Lineage: Eukaryota; Viridiplantae; Streptophyta; Magnoliopsida; Malvales; Malvaceae. The record is from RNAcentral.